Molecule: non-coding RNA, 468 nt
Organism: Heterocephalus glaber (naked mole-rat)
Lineage: Eukaryota; Metazoa; Chordata; Mammalia; Rodentia; Bathyergidae
Source: RefSeq, a predicted model, not a curated record
UUUCUCUACGGCUGGACCUUGAUCAUCUGUACAUCCCAGGGACUCUGCACAUGCUGGCUCUACUGUUUAUUCAGUAUACGGGCUCGCUUAUGGCUCUUUGCAUAAGGGAUGAAGGAAGAGCUGAAAAGUUGUGUUUAGCUUUGGCAGCAGGAUGUCCUCAUUCUGAGGACCCUAUCAGAGUCACUGCUGGAAGCCUCAGCUGCAGGUGGCAUUUGACUCCUUGUCUUUGGGCCAAAGGACCUCUCUGCCAGACAGGGCAAAUUUAAGCAAGUCCUUGUGUCUCUGCUGCCCAUGAAAUGGAGCUAUCAAGACCUGCCACAUACGUUAUUUGUAGUAAAUGAACUAAUGAGGUGAGAUAGUGUUUGAAAUGAAAUAACUGUCAAAAUAUGUGAAUAUCUAGAAUAUCUUCUUUCUGCAUGUGAAUGGUGCAGCUUAAUUGAAAGAAUUGGAAUUAUCUAGUAUGUGAAA